UACGUAGGGUGCAAGCGUUGUCCGGAAUUAUUGGGCGUAAAGAGCUCGUAGGCGGUCUGUCGCGUCGGUCGUGAAAACUUGGGGCUUAACCCUGAGCUUGCGGUCGAUACGGGCAUGACUGGAGUUCGGCAGGGGAGACUGGAAUUCCUGGUGUAGCGGUGAAAUGCGUAGAUAUCAAGAGGAACACCAGUGGCGAAGGCGAGUCCCUGGACAACACCUGACACUGAGGCACGAAAGCUAGGGGAGCAAACAGG
RNAcentral lists this ribosomal RNA (254 nucleotides) under uncultured bacterium. RNAcentral describes it as "partial 16S ribosomal RNA". It matches the Rfam family "Bacterial small subunit ribosomal RNA", at positions 524 to 776 of the family's 1533-position model. The record is from RNAcentral.